Molecule: long non-coding RNA, 677 nt
Filed under: Mustela putorius furo (domestic ferret)
Lineage: Eukaryota; Metazoa; Chordata; Mammalia; Carnivora; Mustelidae
Description: lncRNA (ENSMPUG00000029185.1)
Source: RNAcentral
GUUACAGUUCCUCAUGGUCAACAGCUAUCUGGAGGGAGAUGACCCUCCUUCUGACCAUGUUGUCCAGAGAUCAGUAGUAGCCUAAUGCUAUGUCACAGUGCCUGUGUCAUCCCCUCACUUCAUCUCAUCGUGUAGGCAUUUUAUCAUCUCAUAUCAUCACAAGAAUAAGAAAGAUUUUCACUGUGAGAAACUGUGGCAUUCCUGGAAGUAAAACCCACAAAACACUGGGCCCCCAGAAGUUUAUCACUUGUAAAGCUAAUCCACACUCUGCCUCAAGCAGUUGGUCUAAAUUAGCUAUCAAGAGUUCUUAUCAGCCUAUGUGGCUCCAGUGGCUUUUGCUCCAGGUAAGCUGAUGGUGACUAUUAUUCUCUAUAUUUGCCUGUCUCAUCAAAUUUCAGGAUGAUUAUUUCCCUGUGACCUCAUUUUUGCAGUUGAUUUAAGAGAAGUCAUUGAUCUGCGUUUUGCUUUUUUCUUGUUGUGAAGACAGAAGUGAUGGUCUCCAUGUUGGAGCUGAAAUUGGAAGUCCUUCAUUGCAUUUAAAAAUACACCAUGGAACACUUCUUUCUCCCUGGUAGAGCCAUUUUAGUUAAGAUGUAGAGUAAUGGGAAUUGUUAGAAGAUCAAAUGAGGUGAAGUGAUCUUUGAGGAAUUUGUUGAGUUAAGAGAGUUUACUUAAAA